This 392-nucleotide ribosomal RNA is filed under the name uncultured bacterium. RNAcentral's name for it is "bacterial SSU rRNA". It matches the Rfam family "Bacterial small subunit ribosomal RNA", at positions 28 to 421 of the family's 1533-position model. The record is from RNAcentral.
GACGAACGCUGGCGGCGUGCUUAACACAUGCAAGUCGAGCGGUAAGGCCCUUUCGGGGGUACACGAGCGGCGAACGGGUGAGUAACACGUGGGUGACCUGCCCUCAGCUCUGGGAUAAGCCCGGGAAACUGGGUCUAAUACUGGAUAUUACUCUGCGGUGCAUGCCGUGGGGUGGAAAGCCUUGUGCGGCUGGGGAUGGGCCCGCGGCCUAUCAGCUUGUUGGUGGGGUGAUGGCCUACCAAGGCGACGACGGGUAGCCGGCCUGAGAGGGCGACCGGCCACACUGGGACUGAGACACGGCCCAGACUCCUACGGGAGGCAGCAGUGGGGAAUCUUGCGCAAUGGGCGAAAGCCUGACGCAGCGACGCCGCGUGAGGGAUGACGGCCUGUGU